Molecule: unclassified non-coding RNA, 414 nt
Filed under: Hevea brasiliensis (rubber tree)
Lineage: Eukaryota; Viridiplantae; Streptophyta; Magnoliopsida; Malpighiales; Euphorbiaceae
Source: RNAcentral
AGAAAAUGAAAAGAAAGGUAUAAGCUUUACACCAUCUAAUUGAGAAAUGCAGCGCAAUUUGCCAGCCAAUAUCCACAAUCACCAGGAGAAUCUGGUACUGUAUAUAAGUUCAGGACUCUGAAAUAUUUGGUAGUUGAGAUAGAAUUAACCUACUUCUUUAUAUGUAUAUCUGCACGGAUCCUGAGUGUUCAAGGUCCCCGAUGCUUCCGGAAACAGAAACAGCCCUGUUGUUGAUCAACAGGGAUCAUUCCCCCGCCUUUGGAUGUGUCAAUAGCCUCUAUCAUGGAUACUACCUCAUCCAUCUCAGGUCGCUUAUCAGGAUUAGCGUCCCAGCAUCGUUUCAUCACAUUAGCUAGGGAACUUGGGCAACAUCUUGGUAUUUCUGGCCUCAAAUUCUGGCGAACCACGGCUGAA